This is a long non-coding RNA of Melitaea cinxia (Glanville fritillary), 103 nucleotides long. RefSeq lists it as uncharacterized. The record is from RefSeq and is a predicted model, not a curated record. Lineage: Eukaryota; Metazoa; Arthropoda; Insecta; Lepidoptera; Nymphalidae. The transcript is spliced from 3 exons.
GCUUGUAGCUUGUGUGUUGUUGUUUCCAGAUGUAAAAUAUUAUACGUAUUCUUUUAAAAUGAAAAUAACCAGUUAACAUUUUUCAGAGAAAGAUCGUAAGAGC